UGCGCCUGGUGCACAGGGACGGGAAGGAGCAGAGGGCACCCGGGCUCCCGCCUUCUGGGCCAGUGGCUUUCCAGUUAGGGGCUGGUGCAUGGCUGGGGCCCUUGCUGCAGUGUCCCUGAGGAAGGAAAGCAUCUGGGCCUAGGUGAUGGAGCUGGCCUUGCUGCCCGCUGGCGGCACUCCGGGCUUAUUCAGGACCAGAAGUGCAGGAGCAGGGCGUGCUUGGCACCUUGUUAGCAUGACUUCUUGUGCAUAAUGCUUCUAGCCUGUGUCUCACUUGGCUGAUCAUCCUCUCCAGGCAUUUGGAGACUGUUACGCAGAGCCCUUUGGCUGCCUUCACAGGCAGUGACUGCUGCCCUUGGUUUGGAAUUGUUCUUGGAAGCUCAGUAUUUAGCUAGCUCAACCUGCAGAAGAGAGGUCUGUCCCUGGCCUAAGCACUGGCCUUUCAGAAGUUAGUGUGUUCUUCCGGCCGAGGAGUAGUAGGAUCACUGAGCUCACUGCCUUGUAGGGAAGGUUUGCAAACUCUGUCUAAGGUGGAGAAUUGAUUUUUUUUCUGUAAUUGACAUGCAGUUCUCUAUUUCACGAACCUCUUGUUCUGGGAUGUGAAGAGCCUACCUCUGGAACAGCAUCUGUAUGUGAUAAAAACAGUUUGUCUGCAAGGCAGGGGCUGGUGAGACUCUCAGGAAUGAUGGAGGCAAAUUCUGUGAGUGACUUCUCGGAGUACCAGGCUAGUCUUCUGAAGUCUCUUGAAAACCUGCCAAGAGAAUCCCUGGGCACACAGUUUGUUGGCCUGUCAGCUGGCUGCUCCUCCCCAUGGCUGCCCCAGAUUGACUGCAACUUGCUGCCCCUCCUAGGAAACACACAUGCUUGUCCAUACUGCUGCUGGAUGUGGCUAUGACUCCAGAGAGUCCAGAGUGUUUGCUGCCUCAGAAUUGGCAGUGUUUGGAGAGUGGAAAGAGCUCAGUCAUCCCACUACAUAUAAGCCCAGCUGCAAGGAUCUCCUGAACUUAUGGAGGACGUGAGAUUAUCCUGAAGGUUCCGUUCAGGGCUCUGCUCACCACAGGGAGGCUUUGGCAAUUGAUGAGAACUCAGAUAAGGGGGAGUAGGGACCCUUCCCCUGCAGCGGGCACUCCAAGUCAGGUAAGGGUGCCCUCAGUCGGGGCAGCGCUGUGGGAGGGGAGAAGGGAAGAUGAUGCCUGGUGGGAGAGCUCGUGUCUCCGCAGGGCUGCUGCCGGUGCAGAUCUUUAACCAGAAAGAGGCGAAGUCCCGGCCCCCUCCAGCCUGACACCAGCACCCGGAGGAGCAACAGCGUCCCUGGGCGAAGCGCGCGUCUGCACGCUCAGCGCACGCGGCGGGCGUUGCUCUGGAGCAGCCCCAGGGUUGCGUCCUUGUUACAGUCGGACCAAAAGGCGCCAGCGCGCGGACGAGGCCGCAGGGGGCGCUGCAGCACGUGCCGCGAGAGCCCUCGGGGGAUGGGGAAUGCAUGGCUAGCCUGUUGCCAUGGCUACGGUGACAGCCAUCGUUAAGUGGAGCAAUUCCUUCUUGCUGCUGCAUGUUAUGUGGGAGAAAUCUCUCUGGAAGCCAGGUGCUGUGGACUUCCUCCUCUGAGACCGUUCUCACAGACAGAUGUCUUAUAACCAAAGAGGGCUUCCUCGUGGGAACUGAUCUCCACUCCUAGGAUUCACCUUCUGGACAGCACAGGUUUCAGUUGCCACCACUCCCAUGGGCUGAUGAUUGCUUGUACUGGAAACCCCUUGGCUCGAAAGCAUGGAUGACUACCAAGCAUUGGGGCAGUAGUGAAAAAAGUACUUUGGAAGAGCAGCACCUGAUCCCAGACCAUGGAGCUUGCAGUUUCAGGUUUGACCAAAGGCCCAGGUGCAUCUCUCUUCAGCAUGUGCAAGGUUGUGAUGGCAGUAGCUCCCCUUUUCUCUGUCUGGUCCUAUCCCAGGAAUCCCCAAUCAGCAGGUUAUGGGAGAAUGAGAAGACUUUGUAGCUAUUACUUUUGCAACAAUGCUUUUCCUUACCACCUGUCUGGUUCCUGCCUUCCCCUGGAAGUCUGCUUCCUCCACUCCAGAACUGCUAGGUGCCAACAUGGCCUUUCAUGCAGCUAGUCAGUGUUGUGACCUGUUAGCAGGAAUUGCCUCAUGCAAUGCCAUGAUGAGGAUGCAAGAUGAACCAGGUAGGAUUGAAGGAGUGGGGUAAGAAGAGGGAGCCAGGGGCUUUUGGAGAGGGGUUGGUGGGUUUUUUACCAGCUGGAGAUAAUGACGCAUAUCUCCUGUACAAUGCAGACCAAAUAAUUUCUCUCAAGAAACUGAAUUCAGCCCCGAACGUGUGGUUAAGCUGCAGUACCCCAAGGUCUCCAGUCUUGCUGUAAAUGCGGUGCCACUGGAGAAACACCCCAAGGCCCUAGCGCAGCAUGUCAAACUGCCAAGUCCCCGGUGCACGCAGCAGCCUUGGCCUGGGUCCCCGU
Molecule: non-coding RNA, 2467 nt
Organism: Pelodiscus sinensis (Chinese soft-shelled turtle)
Lineage: Eukaryota; Metazoa; Chordata; Testudines; Trionychidae
Source: RefSeq, a predicted model, not a curated record